Pan troglodytes (chimpanzee) is the source of this 103-nucleotide non-coding RNA. NCBI's taxonomy places the organism in Eukaryota, Metazoa, Chordata, Mammalia, Primates, Hominidae. The record is from Rfam.
UUGCUUUGGCAGCACGUAUACUAAAAUUGGAAAAAUACAGAGAAGAUUAGCAUGGCCCCUAUGCAAGGAUAACACGUAAAUUCGUGAAGCAUUCCAUUUAUUU